RNAcentral lists this ribosomal RNA (478 nucleotides) under uncultured bacterium. RNAcentral's name for it is "partial 16S ribosomal RNA". It matches the Rfam family "Bacterial small subunit ribosomal RNA", at positions 28 to 523 of the family's 1533-position model. The record is from RNAcentral.
GACGAACGCUGGCGGCGUGCUUAACACAUGCAAGUCGAACGGUAAGGCCCUUCGGGGUACACGAGUGGCGAACGGGUGAGUAACACGUGGGUGAUCUGCCCUGCACUUCGGGAUAAGCCUGGGAAACUGGGUCUAAUACCGGAUAGGACCCUGGGAUGCAUGUCCUGGGGUGGAAAGCUUUUGCGGUGUGGGAUGGGCCCGCGGCCUAUCAGCUGGGUGGUGGGGUGAUGGCCUACCAAGGCGACGGCGGGUAGCCGGCCUGGGAGAGUGACCGGCGACACUGGGACUGAGUUACGGCCCAGACUCCUACGGGAGGCAGCAGUGGGGAAUAUUGCACAAUGGGCGCGAGCCUGAGGCAGCGAAGCCGCGUGAGGGAUGACGGCCUUCGGGUUGUAAACCUCUUUCAGCACCGACGAAGCGCAAGUGACGGUAGGUGCAGAAGAAGGACCGGCCAACUACGUGCCAGCCGCCGCGGUAA